UAACACAUGCAAGUCGUACGUGAAAGUACUUUCGGGUAUGAGUAAAGUGGCGCACGGGUGAGUAACACGUAGGUGACCUGCCUUUAGAGGGAAUAACCAGAAGAAAUUUGGCUAAUGCCGCAUACGAAGUACAAAGCUAAGAUUAGUACUUGAAAGAAUGCCUCUGUAUAUGCAUUCACUAAAAGAUGGGCCUGCGGUACAUUAGCUAGUUGGUGGGGUAAAGGCCUACCAAGGCUUCGAUGUAUAGCCGGUCUGAGAGGAUGAUCGGCCACACUGGAACUGAGACACGGUCCAGACUCCUACGGGAGGCAGCAGUGGGGAAUAUUGCGCAAUGGGGGAAACCCUGACGCAGCAACGCCGCGUGAGUGAGGAAGGACUUCGGUCUGUAAAGCUCUGUUAAUGUGGAAAAAUGGUUAGUGGUCUAAUAGGCCAUUGAUUUGAUGGUACACAUAGAGGAAGCACCGGCUAACUUCGUG
This 476-nucleotide ribosomal RNA is filed under the name uncultured bacterium. RNAcentral's name for it is "bacterial SSU rRNA". It matches the Rfam family "Bacterial small subunit ribosomal RNA", at positions 49 to 507 of the family's 1533-position model. The record is from RNAcentral.